GAGUCCUUCCCUGCCCUGUCUUCCUUCCCCCAGUGCUCCCUCUGUGGGGAACCCUCCCUAAGUAGUGAGCAUCCAAAAAUGGUUCCGGAGACUGGAAGAAGGGGUUGCCUCCGGGAGAGGCCUGCAUACACUCUUUCCCCACCGUGCUUCUCAGCCCUGGGAUCUAGCCGGGAUCCUGAGCCAGGGGUUUCUCUGUGUAACAGUCCCGGCUGUCCUGGAACUCACUGAGACUAAAGCUAUGGGAACGCGUCAUUCAUGCUGGUUAUUAUUGCUGUUACUGUUACCUCGAAGAACCCCCGGAGAAGGAUGGUGCUAACAAACUCACCGUCUCCUCAGCUCUGCUCCACGGCUGUGUCCACCCCCCCCCCAUCUCUCCAUGCCUGGACACAUGCCUGCACCUUCCAACUGCUCUUCCAUGGCUCAUCCUGGCCUCUGCUUCUGCUGCUUCGUUCACUUGGUGCCCACCCUCUGGUCUCUACCAAUCAAUCACCCCUCAGCUUUCAGGAUUCCACGUCCCCAGGAAAACUUUUCUCAGGGCCCCCGAGAAGCUCUAAGAGUGGUGCUUUUGCUUCUCGAAUUGGUGGCACUUAUGUAUCGGAGCAUGUGUGUGUUUGGUAAACCAAUGAAUGAAAGUGACCUUGGGCAAAAUAUUUCCUUUCUGGGACUCAGUUUCCUCCCUUUAAAUCAAGGGCCUCAAACUCAGUGGGCCAUGUACUGAAGGGCCAGUCAUUCUCUGGGCAACUAGCUAGGGCUGCCAAAGCAGGAGUCUGAGCUUAGGGUUGCAGGCAUGGGGAGGAAUAAGAGCCCCUCACACUAGCAGUGCAUGGGGAACUGCUUUUUUCAGACAGG
Molecule: long non-coding RNA, 849 nt
Filed under: Cricetulus griseus (Chinese hamster)
Lineage: Eukaryota; Metazoa; Chordata; Mammalia; Rodentia; Cricetidae
Description: lncRNA (ENSCGRG00015039853.1)
Source: RNAcentral